GUGAAACAAGAUACAGGCUAGCGGCGGACGGGUGAGUAACACGUGGGUAACCUGCCCAAGAGAUCGGGAUAACACCUGGAAAACAGAUGCUAAUACCGGAUAACAACAGAUGAUGCCUAUCAACUGUUUAAAAGUAUGGUUCUGCUAUCACUCUUGGGAUGGACCCUGCGGUGCAUUAGCUAGUUGGUAGGGGUAAACGGGCCUACCAAGGCGAUGAUGCAUAGCCGAGUUUGAGAGACUGAUCGGCCACAUUGGGACUGAGACACGGCCCAAAACUCCUACGGGAGGCAGCAGUAGGGGAAUCUUCCACAAUGGACGCAAGUCUGAUGGAGCAACGCCGCGUGAGUGAAGAAGGGUUUCGGCUCGUAAAGCUCUGUUGUUGGUGAAGAAGGACAGGGGGUAGUAACUGACCUUUGUUUGACGGUAAUCAAUUAGAAAGUCACGGCUAACUACGUGCCAGCAGCCGCGGUAAAU
This 474-nucleotide ribosomal RNA is filed under the name uncultured Lactobacillus sp. RNAcentral's name for it is "bacterial SSU rRNA". It matches the Rfam family "Bacterial small subunit ribosomal RNA", at positions 74 to 525 of the family's 1533-position model. Lineage: Bacteria; Bacillati; Bacillota; Bacilli; Lactobacillales; Lactobacillaceae. The record is from RNAcentral.